GUGCUCGCUUCUGCAGUACCUAUACUAAAACUCGAAUGAUACAUAGAAGAUUAGCAUGACCCCUGCUCAAGGAUGACAUGCAAAUUUGUGAAGCAUUCCAUAUUUUA
Jaculus jaculus (lesser Egyptian jerboa) is the source of this 107-nucleotide small nuclear RNA. The record is from Ensembl. NCBI's taxonomy places the organism in Eukaryota, Metazoa, Chordata, Mammalia, Rodentia, Dipodidae.